This 772-nucleotide long non-coding RNA is filed under the name Brassica rapa (field mustard). Its description in RNAcentral is "long non-coding RNA (BRAP_LNC004412)". Lineage: Eukaryota; Viridiplantae; Streptophyta; Magnoliopsida; Brassicales; Brassicaceae. The record is from RNAcentral.
GGGCAUAUGACAAAGUAAAUAAGUAUAAUCUACAUGGGCAAAGCGUGGAUAUAUAAUAAAAAGAUAUUGUAUUUUAGAAGAAAUCAUAAAAAAAAUUUGAACAAACAUCAUCAUCAUUUUAUAUUUAAUUAUUUUUUCAGUUUUAUAUUACAGUCCCAUAGACUGAACUGUUAUAAAUGGAAACAGAGAAAGCCCACUGCAUGAUUAAAACCCACUUUAAACCCAACUUAAUAAGAUAAGGAUAAAGAAAAAACACGCCAGAUAUAUGCACAUGUCUUCAGCUAGUCAUGAUGGAGGAUACGUGUUGUAGAGCUGAUGUUGCUUCUUCUCCGGAGCCGCAAUGGAAAGAGCUUCUGAAGCGCCAAAACUUCUGAAUUUUUCACAGCAACCUAGCAUUUAUUCCAUUUGUAGGCCUCAAUCUCCCAUAUCACCAACGUUUUCUUCGAAAAGUUCAUUCUCUUCGCUGGAUGUGAAUGACCAAGAAGCUUUAAUCAGUUCAUACAGUCUUUGUCAAAACGCUUGUUUAAAACAAGCUUUGACUUUUCUUAAACUGUGAUAAACCCUAAAAGCAAACAUGCAAAGCUCUAAUCUUCAUUUCUUACAAAGACUUUCCUGGAUUAUAAAAGCAAUUAUUGAUAUCUUUAGAAGGUGAAGAAAGAUAAUCUAUACUAUUACUGCCAUUGAAUUUCAACUUAUUUACAAUGUUAUGCCAUUGUAUUUAGUUCUAUAUAAAUAUUAUUUAUUUGAAAUUAACAACUGAAAAUUUUAUAUA